AAGCUCGCCGUCCCAGCAAUUAGUAUGAUACAGUACAUUGCAUCAACAAACUCAACAUGUUCGCUAAAAUUUUCGCCCUGUUCGCUCUGGUGGCGGUGGCCCUGGCCGCGCCCAAGCCGGCGCCGGCGCCGCAGCAGCUGCUGACGUACUCGUCGGGCCUGGACUACGUGUACCCGUCGGGCUACGCCGCGCCCGCCGUCGUCUCGCCCUACGCCGCCGCCCCGCUCGCCUACUCCGCCCUGCCCAAUGCUUACUACUACCGUUAAGACGAUGAGGAAUUCCCGAAAUGAUGUUACUCUGACGACCGCCAUUUGAUUUGAUUUUGAUUGGAUUUAAAUAAAGCAAGUUCGCAAAAAUAA
Ostrinia nubilalis (European corn borer) is the source of this 359-nucleotide long non-coding RNA. RefSeq lists it as uncharacterized. NCBI's taxonomy places the organism in Eukaryota, Metazoa, Arthropoda, Insecta, Lepidoptera, Crambidae. The transcript is spliced from 2 exons. The record is from RefSeq and is a predicted model, not a curated record.